UUCUUUUUGUUCGGAUUUCUG
Molecule: non-coding RNA, 21 nt
Filed under: Caenorhabditis elegans
Lineage: Eukaryota; Metazoa; Nematoda; Chromadorea; Rhabditida; Rhabditidae
Source: RNAcentral